GCCAUCGGUGUCAAGAAUGAGGUUCCCAC
RNAcentral lists this small RNA (29 nucleotides) under Bombyx mori (domestic silkworm). RNAcentral's name for it is "ovarian small RNA-16618". Lineage: Eukaryota; Metazoa; Arthropoda; Insecta; Lepidoptera; Bombycidae. The record is from RNAcentral.